UUGGAGGGCAAGUCUGGUGCCAGCAGCCGCGGUAAUUCCAGCUCCAAUAGCGUAUAUUAAAGUUGUUGCAGUUAAAAAGCUCGUAGUUGAAUUUCGGGGUCAGUAGGUUGGUCAUGCCACUGGUAUGUACUGGUCUCACUGAUUCCUCCUUCCUGAUGAGCCGUAAUGCCAUUAAUUUGGUGUUGCGAGGAAUCUGGACUGUUACUUUGAAAAAAUUAGAGUGUUCAAAGCAAGCUAACGCUUGAAUACAUUAGCAUGGAAUAAUGAAAUAGGACGUUCGAUCCUAUUUUGUUGGUUUCUAGGAUUGACGUAAUGAUUAAUAGGGAUAGUUGGGGGCAUUAGUAUUCAAUUGUCAGAGGUGAAAUUCUUGGAUUUAUUGAAGACUAACUACUGCGAAAGCAUUUGCCAAGGAUGUUUUCAUUAAUCAAGAACGAAAGUUAGGGGAUCGAAGACGAUCAGAUACCGUCGUAGUCUUAACCAUAAACUAUGCCGACUAGGGAUCGGAUGAUGUUAAUUUUUUAAUGACUCAUUCGGCGCCUUACGGGAAAC
This 549-nucleotide ribosomal RNA is filed under the name uncultured Glomeromycotina. Its description in RNAcentral is "SSU rRNA". It matches the Rfam family "Eukaryotic small subunit ribosomal RNA", at positions 548 to 1098 of the family's 1831-position model. The record is from RNAcentral. Lineage: Eukaryota; Fungi; Glomeromycota.